RNAcentral lists this ribosomal RNA (497 nucleotides) under uncultured bacterium. RNAcentral's name for it is "partial 16S ribosomal RNA". It matches the Rfam family "Bacterial small subunit ribosomal RNA", at positions 28 to 507 of the family's 1533-position model. The record is from RNAcentral.
GAUGAACGCUGGCGGCGUGCCUAAUACAUGCCAGUCGAGCGAACGGACGAGAAACUUGCUUCUCUGAUGUUAGCGGCGGACGGGGGAGUAAAACGUGGAUAAACUACCUAUAAGACUGGGAUAAACUCGGGAAACCGGAGCUAAUACCGGAUAAUAUUUUGAACCGCAUGGUUCAAGAGUGAAAGACGGUCUUGCUGUCACUUAUAGAUGGAUCCGCGCGGCAUUAGCUAGUUGGUAAGGUAACGGCUUACCAAGGCAACGAUGCAUAGCCGACCUGAGAGGGUGAUCGGCCACACUGGAACUGAGACACGGUCCAGACUCCUACGGGAGGCAGCAGUAGGGAAUCUUCCGCAAUGGGCGAAAGCCUGACGGAGCAACGCCGCGUGAGUGAUGAAGGUCUUCGGAUCGUAAAGCUCUGUUAUUAGGGAAGAACAUAUGUGUAAGUAACUGUGCACAUAUUGACGGUACCUAAUCAGAAAGCCACGGCUAACUACGUG